This 41-nucleotide ribosomal RNA is filed under the name uncultured Thelephoraceae. RNAcentral's name for it is "partial 18S ribosomal RNA". Lineage: Eukaryota; Fungi; Basidiomycota; Agaricomycetes; Thelephorales; Thelephoraceae. The record is from RNAcentral.
GUGUACAGGUUUCCGUAGGUGAACCUGCGGAAGGAUCAUUA